Lynx canadensis (Canada lynx) is the source of this 873-nucleotide long non-coding RNA. RefSeq lists it as uncharacterized. The transcript is spliced from 2 exons. Lineage: Eukaryota; Metazoa; Chordata; Mammalia; Carnivora; Felidae. The record is from RefSeq and is a predicted model, not a curated record.
CUAGCUCGCCUCCCGCCCCUCCCGGCCAGCCCCAGGGAGCCACGCGUGCCAGGCCCCGCGUUACCCGGGCAACCGGCCGGGCGUCUUCAAACCUCCAGUGGCUAUUCUGGGCCUGCCCAGAUUGGGUAUUCCCCGGAGACCUGGGAGUCCUGGAACCUGCUCUCCAGUCACUGGAGCCUCGGCCCCACCCUGGAUCUGGACUGCAGCCACUGGUGCUGCCUCCGGUGAGGGAGGAGCCAGCGCCCCAGAGCCACGCUGGGUCGAGAGCAAGGCUGGGACUGACACCCGGCGGCGAAGAAACUCCUUGGGGGUGGGGACAGAGGGCUUGGUGAGAGCAACUCAUCCAAUCCAGAGUCAGAGACAGGUUUUUAUUUAAAAUUUAUUGUAAUGGGGUCCGCGCAAAAGGAGGGGAUGAAGGGUGGGGAACAUGCAGGGGACACAGGAACACGAUGACAUGGCCAGGGCCACAGCUUCUGUCUUGGGGGAGAGGGAUGAAAAGAAAAGGCCAGGGCUGGAGCUGGGGUGGAAGAGGGACGGGGGAGACACUGUGACUGCAUUCCCCCCACCCCCAGGAAGCACCUCUAGUCCCUGGAUCCCCCCGUUUACCCUGGCACCCUAAAAUUCCAUCUCUUAUCCUGCCUCUGGCCCUAGUGGCUCCUUCUUUUGCUCCCCUUGACGUGUUUUCCCCUGACAGAUUCUAAGUAGGACAAUGUUUAGGGCCUGACCCUAAACAACCCCACCUUAUGAAGGUACUACCGUUGCCUUCCCUGCUUCUGCCCCUUCUCCAAUCUCACCUUUUCCCCUCCGGGACAGAAUCUUUGAUUCCCCUCCUUCCUCUCCUCCCUCCCCCUGAAAAAAAAAAAAAAAAAAAAA